UGGUUGAUAGCUCCGGUCUUGAAAACCGGUAUAGUUCUAGGAACUAUCGAGGGUUCGAAUCCCUCUCUCU
Molecule: transfer RNA, 70 nt
Filed under: Aegilops markgrafii
Lineage: Eukaryota; Viridiplantae; Streptophyta; Magnoliopsida; Poales; Poaceae
Description: partial tRNA-Ser
Rfam family: tRNA
About the family: Transfer RNA (tRNA) molecules are approximately 80 nucleotides in length. Their secondary structure includes four short double-helical elements and three loops (D, anti-codon, and T loops).
Source: RNAcentral